CCUACGGGUGGCUGCAGUGAGGAAUAUUGGUCAAUGGACGAGAGUCUGAACCAGCCAAGUCGCGUGAAGGAUGACUGCCCUAUGGGUUGUAAACUUCUUUUAUAUGGGAAUAAAAUGUUCCACGUGUGCCUUUUUGUAUGUACUUUAUGAAUAAGGCUCGGCUAACUCCGUGCCAGCAGCCGCGGUAAUACGGAGGAUGCGAGCGUUAUCCGGAUUUAUUGGGUUUAAAGGGAGCGUAGAUGGGUUGUUAAGUCAGUUGUGAAAGUUUGCGGCUCAACCGUAAAAUUGCAAUUGAUACUGGCAGUCUUGAGUACAGUAGAGGUAGGCGGAAUUCGUGGUGUAGCGGUGAAAUGCUUAGAUAUCACGAAGAACUCCGAUUGCGAAGGCAGCUUACUAAACUGCAACUGACAUUGAUGCUCGAAAGUGUGGGUAUCAAACAGGAUUAGAUACCCCAGUAGUC
RNAcentral lists this ribosomal RNA (460 nucleotides) under uncultured bacterium. RNAcentral's name for it is "partial 16S ribosomal RNA". It matches the Rfam family "Bacterial small subunit ribosomal RNA", at positions 338 to 795 of the family's 1533-position model. The record is from RNAcentral.